Molecule: ribosomal RNA, 1437 nt
Filed under: uncultured organism
Description: SSU rRNA
Rfam family: Bacterial small subunit ribosomal RNA
Source: RNAcentral
UUUCUACAGGCUUAACACAUGCAAGUUGAGGGGCAGCAUGGUCUUAGCUUGCUAAGGCCGAUGGCGACCGGCGCACGGGUGAGUAACACGUAUCCAACCUGCCGUCUACUCUUGGACAGCCUUCUGAAAGGAAGAUUAAUACAAGAUGGCAUCAUGAGUCCGCAUGUUCACAUGAUUAAAGGUAUUCCGGUAGACGAUGGGGAUGCGUUCCAUUAGAUAGUAGGCGGGGUAACGGCCCACCUAGUCUUCGAUGGAUAGGGGUUCUGAGAGGAAGGUCCCCCACAUUGGAACUGAGACACGGUCCAAACUCCUACGGGAGGCAGCAGUGAGGAAUAUUGGUCAAUGGGCGAGAGCCUGAACCAGCCAAGUAGCGUGAAGGAUGACUGCCCUAUGGGUUGUAAACUUCUUUUAUAAAGGAAUAAAGUCGGGUAUGCAUACCCGUUUGCAUGUACUUUAUGAAUAAGGAUCGGCUAACUCCGUGCCAGCAGCCGCGGUAAUACGGAGGAUCCGAGCGUUAUCCGGAUUUAUUGGGUUUAAAGGGAGCGUAGAUGGAUGUUUAAGUCAGUUGUGAAAGUUUGCGGCUCAACCGUAAAAUUGCAGUUGAUACUGGAUAUCUUGAGUGCAGUUGAGGCAGGCGGAGUUCGUGGUGUAGCGGUGAAAUGCUUAGAUAUCACGAAGAACUCCGAUUGCGAAGGCAGCCUGCUAAGCUGCAACUGACAUUGAGGCUCGAAAGUGUGGGUAUCAAACAGGAUUAGAUACCCUGGUAGUCCACACGGUAAACGAUGAAUACUCGCUGUUUGCGAUAUACGGCAAGCGGCCAAGCGAAAGCGUUAAGUAUUCCACCUGGGGAGUACGCCGGCAACGGUGAAACUCAAAGGAAUUGACGGGGGCCCGCACAAGCGGAGGAACAUGUGGUUUAAUUCGAUGAUACGCGAGGAACCUUACCCGGGCUUAAAUUGCAGAUGAAUUACGGUGAAAGCCGUAAGCCGCAAGGCAUCUGUGAAGGUGCUGCAUGGUUGUCGUUAGCUCGUGCCGUGAGGUGUCGGCUUAAGUGCCAUAACGAGCGCAACCCUUGUUGUCAGUUACUAACAGGUCAUGCUGAGGACUCUGACAAGACUGCCAUCGUAAGAUGUGAGGAAGGUGGGGAUGACGUCAAAUCAGCACGGCCCUUACGUCCGGGGCUACACACGUGUUACAAUGGGGGGUACAGAGGGCCGCUACCACGCGAGUGGAUGCCAAUCCCAAAAACCUCUCUCAGUUCGGACUGGAGUCUGCAACCCGACUCCACGAAGCUGGAUUCGCUAGUAAUCGCGCAUCAGCCACGGCGCGGUGAAUACGUUCCCGGGCCUUGUACACACCGCCCGUCAAGCCAUGGGAGCCGGGGGUACCUGAAGUGCGUAACCGCGAGGAGCGCCCUAGGGUAAAACUGGUGACUGG